CCUACGGGAGGCAGCAGUGAGGAAUAUUGGACAAUGGGCGCGAGCCUGAACCAGCCAAGCCGCGUGAGGGAAGACGGUCCUAUGGAUUGUAAACCUCUUUUGCCGGGGAGCAAAAGACGCCACGCGUGGCGUUCCGAGAGUACCCGAAGAAAAAGCAUCGGCUAACUCAGCGCCAGCAGCCGCGGUAAUACGGGGGUGGCGAGCGUUAUCGGGAUUUAUGGGGUUUAAAGGGUGCGCAGGUGGAAGUUCAAGUCAGCGGUAAAAUUGAGAGGCUCAACUUCUACGUGCCGUUGAUACUGGUGUUCUUGAGUGAGCGAGAGGGAUGCGGAAUGCGUGGUGUAGCGGUGAAAUGCGUAGAUAUCA
Molecule: ribosomal RNA, 363 nt
Filed under: uncultured bacterium
Lineage: Bacteria
Description: partial 16S ribosomal RNA
Rfam family: Bacterial small subunit ribosomal RNA
Source: RNAcentral